GACGAACGCUGGCGGCGUGCUUAACACAUGCAAGUCGAACGGAAAGGCCCUGCUUUUGUGGGGUGCUCGAGUGGCGAACGGGUGAGUAACACGUGAGUAACCUGCCCUUGACUUUGGGAUAACUUCAGGAAACUGGGGCUAAUACCGGAUAGGAGCUCCUGCUGCAUGGUGGGGGUUGGAAAGUUUCGGCGGUUGGGGAUGGACUCGCGGCUUAUCAGCUUGUUGGUGGGGUAGUGGCUUACCAAGGCUUUGACGGGUAGCCGGCCUGAGAGGGUGACCGGCCACAUUGGGACUGAGAUACGGCCCAGACUCCUACGGGAGGCAGCAGUGGGGAAUAUUGCACAAUGGGCGGAAGCCUGAUGCAGCAACGCCGCGUGCGGGAUGACGGCCUUCGGGUUGUAAACCGCUUUCGCCUGUGACGAAGCGUGAGUGACGGUAAUGGGUAAAGAAGCACCGGCUAACUACGUGCCAGCAGCCGCGGUGAUACGUAGGGUGCGAGCGUUGUCCGGAUUUAUUGGGCGUAAAGGGCUCAUAGGUGGUUGAUCGCGUCGGAAGUGUAAUCUUGGGGCUUAACCCUGAGCGUGCUUUCGAUACGGGUUGACUUGAGGAAGGUAGGGGAGAAUGGAAUUCCUGGUGGAGCGGUGGAAUGCGCAGAUAUCAGGAGGAACACCAGUGGCGAAGGCGGUUCUCUGGGCCUUUCCUGACGCUGAGGAGCGAAAGCGUGGGGAGCGAACAGGCUUAGAUACCCUGGUAGUCCACGCUGUAAACGGUGGGUACUAGGUGUGGGGUCCAUUCCACGGGUUCCGUGCCGUAGCUAACGCUUUAAGUACCCCGCCUGGGGAGUACGGCCGCAAGGCUAAAACUCAAAGGAAUUGACGGGGCCCCGCACAAGCGGCGGAGCAUGCGGAUUAAUUCGAUGCAACGCGUAGAACCUUACCUGGGUUUGACAUGGAUCGGGAGUGCUCAGAGAUGGGUGUGCCUCUUUUGGGGUCGGUUCACAGGUGGUGCAUGGCUGUCGUCAGCUCGUGUCGUGAGAUGUUGGGUUAAGUCCCGCAACGAGCGCAACCCUUGUUCACUGUUGCCAGCACGUUAUGGUGGGGACUCAGUGGAGACCGCCGGGGUCAACUCGGAGGAAGGUGGGGAUGACGUCAAGUCAUCAUGCCCCUUAUGUCCAGGGCUUCACGCAUGCUACAAUGGCUGGUACAGAGAGUGGCGAGCCUGUGAGGGUGAGCGAAUCUCGGAAAGCCGGUCUCAGUUCGGAUUGGGGUCUGCAACUCGACCUCAUGAAGUCGGAGUCGCUAGUAAUCGCAGAUCAGCAACGCUGCGGUGAAUACGUUCCCGGG
RNAcentral lists this ribosomal RNA (1343 nucleotides) under uncultured bacterium. RNAcentral describes it as "16S ribosomal RNA". It matches the Rfam family "Bacterial small subunit ribosomal RNA", at positions 28 to 1378 of the family's 1533-position model. The record is from RNAcentral.